Molecule: ribosomal RNA, 430 nt
Filed under: Reticulitermes flavipes (eastern subterranean termite)
Lineage: Eukaryota; Metazoa; Arthropoda; Insecta; Blattodea; Rhinotermitidae
Description: partial large subunit ribosomal RNA
Rfam family: Archaeal large subunit ribosomal RNA
Source: RNAcentral
CGCCUGUUUAUCAAAAACAUCUCUUCUCGUUAGUUUUUGAAGUAUGGCCUGCCCACUGACCUUGAAUGUUGAAGGGCCGCGGUAUUUUGACCGUGCAAAGGUAGCAUAGUCAUUAGUUCUUUAAUUGUGAUCUGGUAUGAAUGGCUUGACGAGGCAUAGGCUGUCUUAAUUUUGAAUUGUUUAUUGAAUUUGGUCUUUGAGUUAAAAUUCUUAGAUGUUUUUAUGGGACGAGAAGACCCUAUAGAGUUUGACAUUUAUUCACGGUCUCUUUCUGUUUGUGAGGGUUCACUAGGGCUGUUUAAUAUGUUUUGUUGGGGUGAUGGGAGGGAUAUUAUUUAACCCCUCCUUUGUGUUGUUAUAUUUAUUUAUAUUUGCUUGAUCCAUUUAUUUUGAUUGUAAGAUUAAAUUACCUUAGGGAUAACAGCGUAAA